This 237-nucleotide unclassified non-coding RNA is filed under the name plant metagenome. RNAcentral describes it as "partial contains small subunit ribosomal RNA and internal transcribed spacer 1". The stretch from base 1 to 46 matches the Rfam family "Eukaryotic small subunit ribosomal RNA", at positions 1786 to 1831 of the family's 1831-position model. The record is from RNAcentral.
AAGUCGUAACAAGGUUUCCGUAGGUGAACCUGCGGAAGGAUCAUUAACGAGUAAGGGUCUUCUAGGCCCGACCUCCCACCCUUUGUCGUCGAACAAAUCUUGUUACUUUGGCGGGACCGCCCGAUCCCUAAUCGGAUUGGCUGCCGGGUCUCCGACCGGGUAAGCGCCCGCCGGAGAAUCAUUAAAAUCUGACAUUUGAACAUUCUGUCUGAGUAGAUUUAUACAAAUCAGUCAAAA